This is a long non-coding RNA of Humulus lupulus (European hop), 2045 nucleotides long. RefSeq lists it as uncharacterized. The record is from RefSeq and is a predicted model, not a curated record. The transcript has 2 exons. Lineage: Eukaryota; Viridiplantae; Streptophyta; Magnoliopsida; Rosales; Cannabaceae.
AAAAUUUUAUCUAUCAAAUCUGAGUCUAGAGUAUCAAAUAUAUAUAAUUUUAAAAUACAGGGUACCAUAUGAGCAUUAUUGAAAACAGAAGGUACUAAAAUAAUACUUUGCAAAAACAUAGGGUAUCAAAUGAGUAAAUUCCCUUUAAAUAUAGAAGAAUAUCAAGAAAUGAAAUCAAGAUCGUGAGGGAAUAUAUGGAAUGGAAUUUCUGUUGGGGCUUCUACUUUAGACCCUACCCAUGACGUUGUUUUUCUAACUUAUGAAAAUCAUCCAAUUAUCCAUUUUAUUUGGUAUACCAUAGGAUUGUCUGUAUAAUAUAUUUGCAUGUAUUUUUGUUCAUGCUACAAGUUCCUCAAAGCCAUAUCAGAUCUUCCCAAAAUCAUUCACUCCAUUUACCCAAUUCAUUAAAGCACUCAUCAAACCCUCCUACAAAGCCCCAAAAGAAUACAUCCAAGCCUCUGAAUUCAACGAGUGCCAAUUGAAACCGACCCUUGAGAUCCAGUUUAUCACUUUGCAAAUCCCUCCUGAACUUAUCCCUCAGUAGAUUAUACAGGGAAACACCUGAUGGUGAUAUACUACCUAAGAAUCUAUAAUCUUGACAAAUUAAAAACAAGAUUUAAAGAAAUAACAAAGAACAAGUAAAAAUUCACACAAGGAAAUUUUUACAAGGUUCACCACUACACAAAGUAAUGGCUAAUCCUUGGGACCUAGUCCAGAAAGAAAUCCACUAAGAUAUGAAAUGCAAGUUUUACAUAGUAUCUCUCAAUUUACAAUCUACUAAGUAAAUCAUCUAUACUUGUCUCUCUUGCAACCAUCCUUAGUUUGAACUAGUUGAAUCUUCACACUUGAAUUCUUGCAGAUCCAGCUUUCUUCCAAUACUCAGCUUGAUGAACAAUCACAGCUAGCCAUGGAUGAACAACCUCUCAAGAUUCAGUUCUUCAACCUGUAACAGAAAGAUAACCAAAAACAAACUCUACGAACAACAUAUACCAUAUAUUCCACGGCUGAGAAAAUCAAUUAACCCAUAUAUUUAUAGACCUAAGAUCUAACUAACUCAAAAACCCAGCCAUGCUCUCAAACAGAAAAUCGUUAGAGAAACUAAUUAAUUCAGCUACCACUGAAAAAACCCGAAACCUAAUGAUACAGUCAUAUUCAGACAAAGCCACGUAAGCAAGCAGUCAAUUAAAACAAUGUCCAACAGCCAGAUGCAACUGGCAAAACAGAAGAUAAACCAAAAUUCUGUCACGAUACACAAAACAGAUGGAACUAAGAAACUAACAGAUGAAUCAUGAAAUUGCCAAAAUACAGACAACACAAAGUAAGACACUUACAACAUCCAUAUUCAUUUUGGUGCCAUACGUUUAGCUAUUACCGACUUGUUGUCGAAUGGGUCUAAUAGACACCAGAAUGAGGAAAUAUGAGCAUGCUAGAUAGAGACAACGUUAAAUGCAGGAACAUUAAUAACUAUAUUGUUCCCUAAUUUUAAUAUGUCUCUCUGUGAGAAUCGAUUGAUUGAUGCCUUCAAAGUAGAAGUCCAACUGGCUAGAAUUGACCAAGACCUCACCUCUACAAGAGCUACUCUUCAGUACCAAAUGGCAUACACUCUACAAGAUCACACUCUGGAUCUCUCAUUGCCAACAGCUGAAGAAGCAUUGUUGGUCUCGGUAGACUUUACCCAAGUCCCUACAUGCACUCAUAUUCCAAGAACCAACUGGGUGGGACACAGAACAUCCUCCAUCACUAGACUCUCGACAGUCUCCACCUCCAGCUUCUCAACAGGCUAUCUUGACAUGCUAUAAGAAAGCAGCAAAGUGUAUGCGACAUCAUAGAGAAAAUUUUCCAGUACUACCUUAUUUUACACACUCUCCUUCCUCUAUCUCUUUAGUCCUCUUUCUCCCACAAAAUUAUGAAAACCCCAUUUUUGUUAUUUCUAUAUAUUCUUUUCUCUUUUUUUAAGAAAGAAAAGAAUAGGAGCAAUGGUUAUUAUUACAUUUGUUUUUUUUUUAUUCUUUCUCUUACACGAUCUCUCUUCUUCUUCUUCUUUU